Molecule: ribosomal RNA, 437 nt
Filed under: uncultured bacterium
Lineage: Bacteria
Description: bacterial SSU rRNA
Rfam family: Bacterial small subunit ribosomal RNA
Source: RNAcentral
AUGGGAACGCGAAGAACCUUACCUAGACUUGACAUCUCCUGAAUAGUGUAGAGAUACAUGAAGCCCUUCGGGGCGAGGAAGACAGGUGGUGCAUGGUUGUCGUCAGCUCGUGUCGUGAGAUGUUGGGUUAAGUCCCGCAACGAGCGCAACCCUUAUUACUAGUUGCUACCAUUAAGUUGAGCACUCUAGUGAGACUGCCCGGGGUUAACCGGGAGGAAGGCGGGAUGACGUCAAAUCAUCAUGCCCCUUAUGUCUAGGGCAACACACGUGCUACAAUGGUGAGUACAGAUAGAUGCGAUACCGCAAGGUGGAGCCAAACUCUAAAACUCAUCCCAGUUCGGAUUGUAGGCUGCAACUCGCCUACAUGAAGUUGGAGUUGCUAGUAAUCGCGAAUCAGAAUGUCGCGGUGAAUACGUUCCCGGGUCUUGUACACACCG